Long non-coding RNA from Cucumis sativus (cucumber), 647 nucleotides. RefSeq annotates it as DNA-directed RNA polymerases II, IV and V subunit 12. The record is from RefSeq and is a predicted model, not a curated record. NCBI's taxonomy places the organism in Eukaryota, Viridiplantae, Streptophyta, Magnoliopsida, Cucurbitales, Cucurbitaceae. The transcript is spliced from 4 exons.
UUCCCUCCGUCUCUCUCAUCUCGCAUCCUCUCAUUCUCUUUCGUCUUCGUCUUCGUCUUCGUCUCCUCUUCCUCACCUUUGACUAAAAUUAAUAUAAGAACCAAAAAGUUAUUUUAACAUAAAAAAGAAGGGAAAAACCCUACUACACCUUCUCCUCCCUUUUAUUUUUGUUUGAUUUUUCCCUCACCCAUCAUUAUUCGUAUCGUCCUUGCAGCGGUAGGAAGAUUUUUGAAGCUUGACUCAUGGAUCCUCAACCCGAGCCAGUCAGCUACAUCUGUGGAGAUUGUGGAAUGGAGAACACUCUGAAGCAGGGUGAUGUUAUACAGUGCCGGGAGUGUGGUUAUCGUAUUCUCUACAAGAAGCGCACCCGUCGCAUUGUUCAGUACGAGGCCCGCUGAAAUGCUUAUUCUUGCAAUGGACUUCUACUAGUAUCAUGAAUAUUUUGUAAGUUUCUUUUAGGAAAACAAAAACAAUACUCGAUAUGGAUUAAGGACUUGCUGUAGUACAAACAUGUUGAUAAUGCUGCUACUCUAUGAUUAAAUAUUUUUCGUUUCAAAUGCCAUUAUCCCCUUGUGCUAACUCCAUAUCCAACUGAUAAUAUGAAUGAAUGGUUUAUCUCUUGAUAGACUGGAUGGUUCAGUUUUGCA